Molecule: ribosomal RNA, 390 nt
Filed under: uncultured bacterium
Lineage: Bacteria
Description: bacterial SSU rRNA
Rfam family: Bacterial small subunit ribosomal RNA
Source: RNAcentral
AACGAACGCUGGCGGCGCGCCUAAUACAUGCAAGUCGAGCGAGAAGACGUAGCAAUACGUUUGUAAAGCGGCGAACGGGUGAGGAAUACAUGGGUAACCUACCCUCGAGUGGGGAAUAACUAGCCGAAAGGUUAGCUAAUACCGCGUACGCUCCUUGGACUUCGGUUCAGGGAGGAAAGCGAUACCGUGGGUAUCGCGCUCUUGGAUGGGCUCAUGCCCUAUCAGCUUGUUGGUGAGGUAACGGCUCACCAAGGCUUCGACGGGUAGCUGGUCUGAGAGGACAAUCAGCCACACUGGCACUGCGACACGGGCCAGACUCCUACGGGAGGCAGCAGUAAGGAAUAUUGCGCAAUGGGCGAAAGCCUGACGCAGCGACGCCGCGGUGGGGGA